AAUGUUAGAAUUUAAAAAUAAAUUCAUUCGAUAAAUAAAAUGUCCAUCCGUUUAAAUACUUAAAGUUCGUGUUUAAGACAGGGACAUCACUCAAGUAAUUUCCGGUCGCCAUCAGGAGCUGAUUGGCCAUUAUGACAAAAGUGUGUCAGAAAUCAUAUCUGAUAUUCUUCCUCAGUCAUAAUAACCUUCCAUCAUUACCGAACUGAACAAAGAAAUAACACGACGGGG
This 228-nucleotide long non-coding RNA is filed under the name Mytilus galloprovincialis (Mediterranean mussel). Lineage: Eukaryota; Metazoa; Mollusca; Bivalvia; Mytilida; Mytilidae. The record is from RNAcentral.